AAGAGGUUGAGGGGCGGGUGUGGAAGUGUGGCUGCUGGAUGAACCUCGUAGAUUUCUGUUGCUUAUCCAUGGGCUGGAGUCUGGGUGAUGGGCGGGAGAAGGUUGAGCUAACUUCAGGGCCCACGAAUACCAUUUAAUAGGUUUACCCUGUUUGUGUUUAUAUGUAGCUCUUUUUCUCAGGUUUUUAUAAACCACAAGAUCUGUUGGGAAUAAGUGAGCCCAUUCUAUGAAACGAACUAUGCAGCAUACUGAACAAUUAGCUUAGCCUGAUAUACAGAUUUAACUUUUUAAUGAGGCUUGGCUACCCAAAACCUCACCAGGUAGAGGGGUCUCAGUUGCAAACGUCUGGCACUGUGUCUGUAACUUUCAUCUAGCUCUGCUGCUGUCCUCUGUUGUCUGUGUGGCUUUCUGUUGCCUUCGGUUUCUUUCCACCUUUGUCUCAUGCUGACCCGUCCCUCCUUGUAUCAAAACUGAUGUACUAAUUACAGAGAAUCAUCAGGCUCUAAGUCUGCAGUUGCUUGAAGUUGUGCCUUUAAAGUACAAAGACUUCUUUAACUGUAUUUUUAUUGCUGUAGCUAUUUCUGUUCUGAUGUGCCACUGCAUAAAUCACCACAGAUGCUAGAACUGUGAAGAUAUGUGCUUUGCAAAACACUUGCUGCAAAAUACCUGUUAUGCUUCCUGCAGGAUGUUUUUCUUACAUGAAGCAGCAAACCUCUGUGUGCUGGGCUACAUGGAGAAGCAGGGAGGCAGAGUGGGGAAAACUGUGGGCUCCAGAGGCAGGCCCUGACUGGAACCACUUCUUGACUGAACAGUCUUGGAACAGUGGUUCCCAUUUGUAACAUGGAUAUUACAUGUUUCCUGUGACUCCUAUAACAAAUUACCGCAAAGUUAGUGACCUAGAUCAACACAGAUGUAUUAUGUUGCAGUUCUAGAGGUCAGUGAUCUAAAAUCAAGGUGUCAGCCAGGGUGCAUUCCUUCUAGGAGCUCUGGAGGGGAGGGUGUCUCUGCAUCCUGUGACUUAUGGACCCCUUCCUUCAUCUUCAAAGCCAGCAGUCCAGCGUCCUCCAAUCUCUUCUGUUCUGGCUUUCAUCACCAUGCUCCUUCUCUGACUUCAAGCUUCCUGCCUCCCUUUUGUAAGGACCCUUGUGAUUUCACUACGACUACCUGGGUAGCCCAGGCUAGUCCCCAACUCAAGAUCUUUAGCUUAAUCACAUCUUCAAACUCCUUUCUUUUCUUUUUUUUUUUUCCAUAUAUAGUAGCAUGUAUAGGUUCUGGAGAUUAGAACCUGGAUGUCUUUGGGACAGCCAUUAUAAACCCACAGCAUGGGGUUGUGGGAAGAUUAGUUGGGUUCGUACUAUGGAUGAACUCAUGUACCCAGCUCAUGUACCCAUUCCCCUGCUGCAUGAACCAGUGCUCUUAAUGACACAGUAUAAGAAUGGAUAUUUGUAGCAAUUAAUUUAUGGCAUCUAGGAAAGAUGAAAUCACUUUCUUUUUCAAAUACUCUCUUAUUAGGAAGGCACAGUGCAAUAGUUCAUAUUUAAAGAGUAUCACUGUUGAAAGGGUAAAAGUCAAGUCUUCUGAAAAAAAAGGUUAAGUCAAUUUUCUAAAAACUCUUGAAAAUUUACUUAUGUAAAAUACCACCUUUCUCAGUAAGACUGGAUAAGCAGCAUAAGGAGGCAUUUUUCCAUUUAUGCCUCUAGAAUAUUAUUACUAAUAACAGUUGAGAUUUAUGGAAAUUCUUUCCUCUAAGUACGUUAGAGUUCCUUCAGGUUUGUGGUACACAAAAAUGUGAUUUGGCAGGGAUGAUUUAAUUUAGCAGAUACUUCAAACAAGUUGCUUUAAAUCCCAAGGAAUUUUUCAUUGCUGUCUCUCUCUGUGUUCUGAUGGAAUCCAAAUGUCAAAAGCUGAAGGUGACUUUUUAAGAUUUUUUUUUUCUGCCAUUCCCUUCCAUCUUAGUUUUACAUAGAACUCUAAAGUAAGGCAGCUGUAGUCAUCCUCAGGGAAACUCGGCAAGAGGACGAGGCUGUGGUAAGAAACAAAGGGAACAACAGGUGCUGCACAUACUCUGAGUGCCAAACCACCUGGCCGAGGCUUUGCAGAUCCGACAGUGGCCUGCCCACAGCUGCCAGGAGGCGGGAGUGAUUGCCUUUCUUUUUAGGAGCAGAGAAUGGGAGCUCAGAGUGUCGAUGUUUUGCAGUUGAGCUUCAGAGGUCUAGGGCAACAUGGUGCUUCUGUGUCUGGCUGGGAAUAACUUCCUGCUUGAGCCCUUCAGCAAGGAAGGUGCCCUGCUGGCUUCCCCACCUACUACACUAAUAUCUCCCUUUCCUGCCACGUGGAGAGUCCACAGGAAGCAAAGUCCCACCUCCCUUAGGUUUGGCCUUGUCUCUUUAUCUAGCCUGAGGCAGGAUAACAAGUAUUCCUGUUUCUUCUUUCCCUCUCCUGUUUUCAAGAAGCCUCCUACCUUUCUAAUAGGAUAGCCUGGGUAACUUUGUACCUGGAUAAGGCUGGUGUAAAGAGCAGAGCUCAGGAUUCUCUGACACCAGACCCUGUGCUAGCUUUCACUGUCUGGUGAUCCUUGGAAUUCAGCCAGCAUCCGGUUGCCAGGCUCAGGCACUGCUCAAAAGGACAGAGGUCAGCUUUGCUCCAUCAACCAUGGACAUGCAGCCCAGCACUCAAGGUUAGGCAAAAAAAAGAGGCUCCUUCCAAAAGCACACUUGAAAGUGGAGAGAGAUUUUGCAAAGAUGUACCUCACCUUUGGAGAGAUGAACAGAAAUAAUGGACAUGACAUUUUUGCUGCCUGCAUCCCCAUCUUUGAAGGAGAGUUCAACCAGAUCACAUAUUUUUUAGGGAAAUGGAGCUCCUGGUGAAAUACUGUGUUUCUAGAAAGAGCUGCAGUGUCUGCAGUAGAAACUUCCAGCAAGCCUGGCACUCAGAAAGAUGUCUAACUGAAAUCCACAGGGCUAGUAACACUGAUGGAGUCCUUUUUCCUUCCACUGCCAACAUCAGCCUGCAUAAUCUACAAACAGUUCUCAAAGUUUAUCUUUGAACUACACAACCUAUCUUUCCUUUCUUAAAUGAACUUGUUGCCAGUUCUCAAGAACCUUCUAAGGAAGGUGGCCUAUUUUGUUGUUGUGUUAGUUUUCUUUUUAUGUUUUUAAAAUUAAAGUCACACACACACACACACACACACACACACACACACACAGAGUUCAGAAGUGCACACCACAAGGGAUUGUUACAAAGGAGGCACACCUGUGUAGCUACAGCCUAGAAGAAGAAACAGCACAUUGCCAGCCUCUUGGAAAUUUCUUCCUCCCUGCAACCUGAUUGUCCGUCUCUCUUCCCCAGAGGUAACUACUCACUCCUCUGACUUCUAGCACCGUAACUUGCUUUUCCCUGUCUUUGAACUUCAUAGAGUUGAUUCAUACAAUAUGUGUUCUUUUAUGUCUGCCUUCUUCCUUUUCACAUUAUGCUUAUGGGAUUCAUCUAGGUUGUUAUGAUUUUGACUUUCACCAUCUGGGCCUGAGGGCCAAAUAAAGAAUUUCAUAAGGAAAUGAGAUUCUAAAUUCUGGAGUUUCUGACCAGGGAGUCUUUGUUCCCACAGUCAGCUUCCCCGCCACUCCCCCCCCCAAAGUGACAGUAUUUUUGCAGUAAUCUUGGAGUGUGUGUUCUGCAAGAGUGUUUCUCCAAAAAGUCGUAUGACUCAGCUUUGUUUUGUCUUUAUUUAUAAGACGUUACUCAAAAUGACAUUUGACUGUUGACAGAAAUUAAAUCCUGCCCCAGAGGACAAGAAGUGACUACUCCUGAGACUUUCACAAAAUUAGGCUACUUGCUGUUUUUUGUGAAGAAGAGGGAGAAAGAUGCUUUGUCAGAAAGAACACCAGAAAUCAGUGCACAGCCAGUCAAGACUGGAGUGCUGUUUUUUAAAAGAUGGUGAACUUUCAAGUUCAGAAGCCAUUGGUAUCAUUUUAUGUCUCUGCAUUGAAAGACCCGUCUUCUGGUCUGUAUGCAGUAGCAGAUGAAACGUCUCAGCCUUUCAGAGAUGGAGGCUAAUUAUCUGAAAAGCUUUUCUGUUAGAGCACAGACAACACGAAAACAAUGUUCAUAAAAAUCCAACCGCUUCCUGCAACACGAUUGUAUCACCUAACAAAGGAUUCUUUAAAAAUCUUUAUUCAUGCUCAUAUGGAGUGGUUAUAUAGUUGUAAUGAAAGUGUAUCAUUCUUACAGUUCUUACGGACUUGAAAUUAACAUUAUAGUAAUUCUUUGUUGCUGUACAGUUCAUUAAUAGGGUUUAAGAGUUGCAUGUUGCACUAAGGUGAUCCAUGAGUUGCAGAACCAUUCCCUUAUUUCUGGACAAUGUGUUAUUUUUGUUUUUUCUCCCAUUAUUAUAACUUAUGUGGCAGGAGGUUCUUUCUGGCGUAUAAACUUUUUCUUAUUUUGAAUUAACUCCUUAGGACACAGUUCCAGGACCAGGGUGGCUAUUUUGUUUUCGUGGUUUUAAUCGUGCGUUGUGCUGCCUACAUACUUUUCAAAAAAUUGUAGCAGAAAUAAGAAAGUAUCCCAGCUUAACUCUUUCAUUUUUAACACUUUGUUAUUAAAAAUGUCUAGUUUCUUAGUUUAAUGGGUAUCAAAUCUUACCAUGUUGUAAUCUUUAUUUGUGUGAUAGCUCAUAAAAUCAAACAGGUAUUGUGACCGUUAAAUGAAUUAAUGGUCAUAAAGCGUUUGUAGCAUUGGUUCAUAGUGCUGUAUAUAAGAGUAUGCUGUCACUGGACUUUUUUCAAUUCAGUAAAUCUGAUUCUGUUCUCUCUAGAGAACAUUGUCUGGUCAUGCUCUAUUUUUGUCUGCUUUCCAGAGUCUUGGUGUUUUAUAGUCAUACAGUCACUGGUUCAUUCAACAGCUGUACUUCUUGGACUCUUGGUUGUAGUUGACAGAAACUCUUUUGAGGUCACAAGCUAACAAGGGGCAUUUAUGGUAAAGUUACCUGGGAUCUUACAGAGACUCAGAGUCUCUGUGUUUGAGUUCCUUCUUCCCAGUGCUGUGUUCACCUGUUCCUUAUGCGUCUGGCCUUCAUUUUUCUGUCUUAGCGUAACGUCACUUCCUCACAGAGGCCUUCCCUGACCGCCUGGCCACAUGGCCGCACCCUUUCCACACUCCCUCAUGCUGCACCAUGGCUCCUUGCCUUUGGGCUGUUGCAAUCGGUAAUUGUUUGCUGGACUUUUUGCUGGUUGUCCGUUUAGGUAAUGAGCCCCAGAGGCAAGGACUCUGCUGUCUUGUCCUCUCUUAUCUCCUGGGCUCAGGCGUGGUCCUGGCACCCAGCAGCCCCUCCGUGAAUGCUUGCUGAGUGAAUGGACAUGGCCAGCCAGGUGACUGUCUUCGUCUUCCACUUUUGCUCCUCUCUGCUUCCUUACUUCAUUCUGAUGUCCUGUCUCUGUCUCUCUUUGCUGUGCUCUCCUCUCGCGGCCUGCAGAUUGGCCUGUUGACUUGGUUCACCCACAGAGUAAAAAGACAACUCCCAUCCACUCGUGAGUUGCAAGCUUUGUAUCUGGACAGUUUAGAUUCCUGGCUCAGCUAGGGUCUCUUGUCCACUGUGGUCCAAUCUCCUGUGACUUUGAGUGUGGAGAUGGUCAGUAGGACCACGUAUCACUGGUGCUUGUGAUGCCCUGUGUGACAGUGUUGGUUAUGGGAAGGGGAGAAAAGGUGGCUAAGCAGACCUCAGAAUGGGGUGCUCCUAUAAAUUAGCUGCUAGCUUUACCUCCAGCAUGCUCUCACCUCCAAGCACUGAGGAUGUGGCGUGAAAACUGCACAGUAUUGUCUCAGAGUACCCACAACCUUCAAGGGUGCCGGACGGACGAACCAAAGGUAAAUCAGUGCACUGCUUCGGCAAUUACAGCCACAGCCCAAACCCAAGAUCUCCGCUGUCCUGAGGUGAAAAUUCUAGUGAGUGAGAUGGAUAAUCAGUGCUAUAAAUCAAUGAAGUAUGUGAUAUAUUACAAUGGAAAUACUGAAGACAUCUAAAAUAUUAAGAAAACUGAGAGAUGAAAAGAAAAAUAUGAAUAUGAAAGGAUUCCAUUUCAAUAUGAAAAUAGAAGCUGAGAAACGCUAAAAAAUGAAUCAGUAAAGGGGCAUGUGGACUGUGAUUUUAAACAGAAUGGUCUGAAAGGAUUCGGUGUGAAGGUGACAUUUGAACAGAGACUUGAAGGAGAUGAGAUGGCACAGCACAACAUAUCUGGCAUGGGCACCCCAGGCUCUGGGAACAGCAGGUGCAGAGACCUGGAGGUGGGUGGGUGAGCUGCGUCUGUGGGGUGGAGAGAGGAGUGGAUAGUGCAUGAGCUCAGAGAGGUGACAGGGAGCCACACCCCAUUGUGCCCUGUGGCCGCUGCAGAGCUCCUGGCUUUUGUUCUGGGUGGAGAUGAGGCCAGACAGGGUGCUGGGAAUAGGAGCAGGAGCUUUCUGCAAUUCUGCUGUUGUAACUGCUUACUUACACUUUGCUGUAAUUGUACAACCCUUUUCCUUUGCUCUGUUUUUAUGCUUAUUGUUUUAGGCUGGCUUAAGUAGAACUGAAUAUUUGUAUUGUCUCAAGGAGUGUCAGGGAGGUAAAGAUUUGGAGGGCACUAUAGUCAGCUGAAUGGUCCACUGCGGGAUCACCUGUAGGCACCCCCAGCCUCAUCCUUCAGGGGACUGCUUUUCAGAUGCUUGCAGGCCCAGUCCCUGAGUCCAUCCUCACAGCAGGCAGGGAUUACCUCCCCAUUUUUCUAAUGGGGCCUUGAGUAGCAUAGACGAAAGAACCCAGGGUCUCUCACGGUGAGCAGGACAGGGCCAGAAAGAGAACAUCGUUCCCUUGCAACUGGCCCUUCUCGGGCAGCCCUUUCUGAUGAGCAGUCACCUUAUGUGUUAGUGGCACAGAUAUGCCAUUGCUGGUAUAAAUUCCUCCUUCCAUUUGGGAAUUGUAUCACACCCUUAUUGGCUGAAAAGAUUCUUAUGGGGCUGUGAAUGGGGGUGUUGGGGUCAACAGAUAGGAGGCCAAAUCUGGGCUCUGCCACUUACCACUUUGUGACCUGGCAAGCUACCCAGGGUCUCGAUCCCAGGUCCUCACCCAUGAAAGGGUGACACUGCCAGCUUCCUGGGCUUUUGGUGCGUGGUGAGAUUGUAUACAUCAUGCCCCAGCACAACUUGUGAUGCCUAGUAGUCCAGUGGGUAGACCCAGCCAGGUAUAUUUUGGGGAAAGAACAGUCAGCCUCUUUUCUUUGUAAUCAUUCUUUUCUUCCUUUGGGAUGCUGGGUGGUUCUCAUCCACAUACAGCCAUUUGAUGUGCAUCUCCCAGCACUCUGAGGUCAAUCUCACCUCGAGUAAAUACUAGGAUUUGCAGUUAACUCAGCCUGUAAGUCUCAGAUGUCUCUUGAUAGAAAGCCAUCUGAUGGUCUCAAAGUAUUGCUCUUUUAUGAUUAGUCAUGAAUCUGCAUCCCAUUAUUUUAAUUAGGCAGCAAAAAAUUGUGUCAGGUGCUCUCCUGGGCCUGUUUGAUAGGGGCUGUCAGUGGUUGCUGAAAACAUCUGUAACAUUUAUUGCCAGGGCUCUGAUGCCUCAGUAAGGGAUGGCUUUUAGGUGCUGCCUUCUUUCCUUGUCUCUUGCAGAGCCUUGGAAUUACAUCCAUAAAAGGCUGACUCUUGAUUUCAAACGAGGCAAUCCCAUUUAUUCAUUUCAGAGCUCCUUUUUUACCACUUAAUCUAUUACUCUUUGACCCAAGUAUUUGAUAAUGAAUGACAGAAUAUUUAUCAGCUCAGAGAAUGGUUCCAUCAGCUUUACUCUAGUGGUGAAGAACACAGCAUGAUUUUGCCCAGGCUGCCCAAUGUGAUGAUGCUGUAUGCACAUGAGCCGUGCGUCAGUGGAGACGUGUGUUUAGCUGAGAUUUGACUGGAGAUGUGUAGAAAUCUGACCUCCUGUGUUUGAAAGAAGAUGUUGCUAUAUAUUUUUUAAAGUUGUAAUUUGUCUCUAAUUAUAACUUAUAUGCCUUAGAAGUGAAAAAUUUUCCUCACACUUCAGGCUUGUAGAAUUAAUGAAAUUUAGAAUUUUGGGUUUAGUAACUAGAAUAAUUGAUACAACUGUAAUACUAAUAUUUAUUUCCUUUUGCUGCUUUUAGUGAGAGUGUUGUUCAUAUAAGAUGUACAGAAUUUUUGCUCAGUUCAGUUUAAUGAAAUGCAUGGAAUAUAUUCAGUCUGUAUGUGCAUUCAUGCCCUGAGGUACCCAGAUGAGUAGGAUGUGUCCCUGCCCAUGUUCAGCUGAAGGCAGCCCCUGCCUUAUACGAGGCUGUAGAGGUGGUGCAUAGACUGAAGCAAGUGGAUAGUGUAUAGGGGCCUGUGGAGGGCUGGCUCCUGGCCCAAUUACAAGAGCAUUCAAUUUGAGUUCUGAAUUAACAGGAAGAAUGGCCAGGUGCUGCCAGACAGUGCAUUCCAGGCAUGGAAAAUGUUAGCAAAGGCUCAAGGGGUCUGAGAUUGCAGAAGCAAGGCAGAAAGUUUGGAGAACUCAGGGAGUUCAGUGUUAUGAGCCUAAAUACAGAGGGAACAGGCACAAGAGGAAGCCAGAGGGGCGGGGUGGGCAGAGUUGGUUCUGAUCCUGGAGGGCCUUCUCUGCUAAGCUCUGGAACAUCAACUUUUUUUUGAAGUUGAGGACAUUGGUGGGUUCUGAUGGCUGGACCGUGGGAUGGUUUAUGCUGUAGAUCAUCUGGAUAGAAGAUAAGGCAUCAGGAUGCAUGUGUGGAUAAAUGGGUGGAUUGUGGAUAAUGGAGGGAUGGAUGGAUGGAUGGAUGGAUAGAUGGUAGAGUUUUAUGAAGGCAAGGAAACCAGUUUAGGGGCUUUUGCUGUUGUCCAAGAAGGAAAUGAGGAGAACCUAAACCAGUGUGGAGGUAUUAGAAAUAGAGAGAAAUAGACAGAUAUGAGAAAUAUAUAGGAAAUGAAAUCAGGUGCUGAA
Sapajus apella (tufted capuchin) is the source of this 8962-nucleotide long non-coding RNA. RefSeq lists it as uncharacterized. The transcript is spliced from 2 exons. The record is from RefSeq and is a predicted model, not a curated record. NCBI's taxonomy places the organism in Eukaryota, Metazoa, Chordata, Mammalia, Primates, Cebidae.